This 67-nucleotide transfer RNA is filed under the name Marmota monax (woodchuck). Its description in RNAcentral is "tRNA.Ala". It matches the Rfam family "tRNA". From Rfam's summary of the family: Transfer RNA (tRNA) molecules are approximately 80 nucleotides in length. The record is from RNAcentral. Lineage: Eukaryota; Metazoa; Chordata; Mammalia; Rodentia; Sciuridae.
GGUUGUGGCUCAGUGGUAGAGUGCUUACCUAGCAUGUGUGAAGCACUGGGUUCAAUCCCCAGCACCA